GAUGAACGCUGGCGGCGUGCCUAAUACAUGCAAGUCGAACGAAACUUCUUUAUCACCGAGUGCUUGCACUCACCGAUAAAGAGUUGAGUGGCGAACGGGUGAGUAACACGUGGGCAACCUGCCCAAAAGAGGGGGAUAACACUUGGAAACAGGUGCUAAUACCGCAUAACCAUAGUUACCGCAUGGUAACUAUGUAAAAGGUGGCUAUACUACCGCUUUUGGAUGGGCCCGCGGCGCAUUAGCUAGUUGGUAGGGUAAAGGCUUACCAAGGCAAUGAUGCGUAGCCGAAUUGAGAGGUUGAUCGGCCACAUUGGGACUGAGACACGGCCCAAACUCCUACGGGAGGCAGCAGUAGGGAAUCUUCCACAAUGGGCGAAAGCCUGAUGGAGCAACGCCGCGUGGGUGAAGAAGGUCUUCGGAUCGUAAAACCCUGUUGUUAGAGAAGAAAGUGCGUGAGAGUAACUGUUCAUGUUUCGACGGUAGCUAACCAGAAAGCCACGGCUAACUACGUG
Molecule: ribosomal RNA, 512 nt
Filed under: uncultured bacterium
Lineage: Bacteria
Description: partial 16S ribosomal RNA
Rfam family: Bacterial small subunit ribosomal RNA
Source: RNAcentral